RNAcentral lists this ribosomal RNA (266 nucleotides) under uncultured bacterium. RNAcentral's name for it is "partial 16S ribosomal RNA". It matches the Rfam family "Bacterial small subunit ribosomal RNA", at positions 793 to 1055 of the family's 1533-position model. The record is from RNAcentral.
GUCCACGCCGUAAACGAUGAGUGCUUGGUGUAGCGGGUAUCGACCCCUGCUGUGCCGAAGUCAACACAUUAAGCACUCCGCCUGGGGAGUACGGUCGCAAGACUGAAACUCAAAGGAAUUGACGGGGGCCCCGCACAAGCGGUGGAGCAUGUGGUUUAAUUCGAAGCAACGCGCAGAACCUUACCUGGGUUUGAACUGCACCGGAAAGGCUCAGAGAUGAGCUCCCCUCUUCGGAGGUCGGUGUAGAGGUGCUGCAUGGCUGUCGU